UUUCCGUAGGUGAACCUGCGGAAGGAUCAUUGUCGAACCCUGCCCAGCAGAACGACCCCCGAACCUGUAUAAACAACCGGGGGCGGGGGGCGUUCUCGCCUCGUGCCCCCGAACGGCGGGGAGUCACUCGUGCGUUCUUGCCGAACAACGAACCUCGGCCCGGUCUGCGCCAAGGAACUUCAACUAAAGAGUGCCCCCGAGCGCCACGGAAACGGCGUGCGUGCCGGGGGCUAAUCUUGUGCAAAACCAAUAAGACUCUCGGCAACGGAUAUCUCGGCUCUC
This 282-nucleotide unclassified non-coding RNA is filed under the name plant metagenome. Its description in RNAcentral is "partial contains small subunit ribosomal RNA, internal transcribed spacer 1, and 5.8S ribosomal RNA". The record is from RNAcentral.